Molecule: non-coding RNA, 24 nt
Filed under: Mus musculus (house mouse)
Lineage: Eukaryota; Metazoa; Chordata; Mammalia; Rodentia; Muridae
Source: RNAcentral
UGAAAGAGGAGUUGAUGCUUGGGC